RNAcentral lists this long non-coding RNA (765 nucleotides) under Mustela putorius furo (domestic ferret). RNAcentral's name for it is "lncRNA (ENSMPUG00000025017.1)". The record is from RNAcentral. Lineage: Eukaryota; Metazoa; Chordata; Mammalia; Carnivora; Mustelidae.
UUUUCAUUAUAGUCAGUCUUACUCAUUUUGUUAUUGUUAUUGUUGUUUUCAUUUUGUACAGCCCAAAUAUAAAGAACCAUCUAUGCAUCAUAAUAGAGAAGUACAUGGGCCCGUGUCAAAACUAGGAGAACAAAUGUUCCAGUGCCCAGAAUGGACAACAUCUGACAAAGAUCACAAGCAGCCAGAGAGGCAGACAGAGAGAGAAGAGGAAGCAGCCAGAGAGCCUGCUAAGCAGAGAGCCUGAUGUGAGGCUCCAUCCCAGGACCCUGGCUGAAGGCAGAGGCUUUAACCCAGUGAGCCACCCACGCACCCCAUCACAGUGAGCAUUCUGAGCACUGCACAGCUUGUAUUCCCUCCGGGGCUUCUCACCUGCCAGAAUGUCCCAUUAGGCCUUUUGACCCUGCCAAGGUUAAGUGACCAACCAACUAUUGCCAAUAUUCCAAGAUCUUCCCACACUUAUCUUUGUCUCACCCCUUAAUAACUUGCAUACAAUAUUUUCUCGGAAACUCGGGAAGCUGCCCCACAACCAGCACAUGCCUUCCCUUUCCCUGCAUCCAUUUCUGCUACUUCAAGUGAAAGAGUACUUCAUUGUCAACGGAUACUAAGCAUCUUGCAUAAUUACUUGUAACUAAACUGUUGCCAUGAUGUCUUGCUUAAAAAAAAAAAAAAAAAAAAAAAAAAAAUUUCCUAUUGCCUGAUCUUGCACCGUCAGCAGUUUUCUUUACGGCGCCGCCGUUCAUUACUGUCCUCGCAUUAAUCCCGUGC